RNAcentral lists this ribosomal RNA (253 nucleotides) under uncultured bacterium. Its description in RNAcentral is "partial 16S ribosomal RNA". It matches the Rfam family "Bacterial small subunit ribosomal RNA", at positions 524 to 776 of the family's 1533-position model. RNAcentral also lists the same sequence under 1 other name. The record is from RNAcentral.
UACGUAGGGGGCAAGCGUUGUCCGGAUUUAUUGGGCGUAAAGCGCGCGUAGGCGGUUUCUUAAGUCUGAUGUGAAAUCUUGCGGCUCAACCGCAAGCGGUCAUUGGAAACUGGGGAACUUGAGUGCAGAAGAGGAGAGUGGAAUUCCACGUGUAGCGGUGAAAUGCGUAGAGAUGUGGAGGAACACCAGUGGCGAAGGCGACUCUCUGGUCUGUAACUGACGCUGAGGUGCGAAAGCGUGGGUAGCGAACAGG